CUUGUUCCUGCAUGGCACAGAGCAGAAAAAUACAUGUGCUCUUUACAAGUGGAAAGAUUGUGAAGAGAGAUUGGGGGACAAGCUGUGGCUAAUCGAUCCAAGCAGAGAAAACUGACCAAACCUGGAUCAAUGCGAUUAUCUUCUUUUGGGAAUUUGAAAAUUGAAAAGGACAUGCUCAGAGUGAGAAGAGUUUGUCGGAGGUGAAUUAUUUCACACUAGAAACAGAGACAAAAUGUUCAUUAUUUCCCCUGAGUUUCCAGGAAUACUUUCCUUCUUUAAUCCUAUUUCAUUCCAUAUUUAAGGAACUGGGGUGAUUACAGUAAGUUAGAAAUGCUGUAAAUCUUAAUUACUAC
RNAcentral lists this long non-coding RNA (353 nucleotides) under Homo sapiens (human). RNAcentral describes it as "HSALNT0045172". Lineage: Eukaryota; Metazoa; Chordata; Mammalia; Primates; Hominidae. The record is from RNAcentral.